RNAcentral lists this ribosomal RNA (430 nucleotides) under uncultured bacterium. RNAcentral describes it as "bacterial SSU rRNA". It matches the Rfam family "Bacterial small subunit ribosomal RNA", at positions 355 to 776 of the family's 1533-position model. The record is from RNAcentral.
UGAGGAAUCUUGCGCAAUGGGGGAAACCCUGACGCAGCAACGCCGCGUGAGUGAGGAAGGCCCUCGGGUCGUAAAGCUCUGUCAGGUGGGAAGAAAUCGAUGAAGGAGAAUAUCCUCCAUUAUUGACGGUACCACCAGAGGAAGCACCGGCCAACUCCGUGCCAGCAGCCGCGGUAACACGGGGGGUGCAAGCGUUGUUCGGAAUCAUUGGGCGUAAAGAGCGUGUAGGCGGCCAGGUCAGUCAGAUGUGAAAGCCCUGGGCUUAACCCAGGAAGUGCAUUUGAAACUGCUUGGCUAGAGUAAGGGAGAGGAAAGUGGAAUUCCUGGUGUAGAGGUGAAAUUCGUAGAUAUCAGGAGGAACACCGGUGGCGAAGGCGACUUUCUGGCCCUAUACUGACGCUCAGGCGCGAAAGCGUGGGGAGCAAACAGG